This is a non-coding RNA of Oryctolagus cuniculus (rabbit), 869 nucleotides long. Lineage: Eukaryota; Metazoa; Chordata; Mammalia; Lagomorpha; Leporidae. The record is from RefSeq and is a predicted model, not a curated record.
CUUUCCCAAAAUGCAGUCUCAAGUGCUUCAAAAUGGAGUCCCUACUGUCAAGGUGCUACUUCAGAAGUGAAAUUCUGGAUGGAGGGGCCAUAACCAUCCCUUCAGUAUUCCCACAGGUGAGAUCCCACCCCACUGGGUUAUGCAUUUAGGGCACCGCCCCCUGAGAUGAGAAAGGGGAGGGCCCUCUCUGCCCCUGGCUGUGCUUGGGAAUCCUCCUUGGGCUGCCUCUUCCUCUCUUCCUCCUGGCAACCCUGGCCCAUUCCUGCUGAGGGUCUCUCCGUGGGUGGCGGCCCUCAGUAGGCGUGCAGGUGUGGUCACGCUCUCUGUCCUUGAAAUCAAAGCUGCUUUUGUGCACUGCCUGUGGCUGCUGCUGCUGUGAAUCCUCAUCUCCAUGGGGACAAGAACCUUGAGUAAAAUGUAAGACCCAGGGCCCACACCUUCCCCACCGGGCACCCAGCAGGGUACGUGUGGUCCUGUGACAGCAGUGGGGGGUCCGGGAGUCAGCCUGAGUGUAGGAAACAUCAGGCUCCCUGCAGGAAGGAGGAGCAGCCUGGGCACGGGAGCCCCCAGGGGAAGUGGACCCUGGCUCAUGAAGGCUGACUUUAUGCCUCCUGAGAACUGGCCUUGACCUCUGCUCAGCCCAGGGCUCUCUCAGCCACCAUGGCCAGGGCUAGCCCAGGGCAAAUUCCAGAGGGAGAAAUAUUAUCUGUGUACCCCACCUGGGUGGCAGGGACCCAAGCCCUUGGGCCCUCCUCUGCUGCUUUCCCAGGUGCCUUAGCAGAGAUCUGGAUCAGGAGUGGAGCAGCUGGGACCUCAACUGUCACUCAUAUGAGAUGUCAGAGACAUGGUUAGAGGCUUAACCCCCUUUG